RNAcentral lists this transfer RNA (55 nucleotides) under Plagiorhynchus transversus. RNAcentral describes it as "tRNA-Gly". The record is from RNAcentral. Lineage: Eukaryota; Metazoa; Acanthocephala; Palaeacanthocephala; Polymorphida; Plagiorhynchidae.
AGGUGUGUAGUAUAUAGGAGUACAGGCGAAUUCCACUCGUCAGGUUGGACAUCUA